AUGUGGGUGAUGAAAAAAAUCGUUCGGAUUCCCUAUGAUUUCCUUUUGGAAAUGUGAUUCCUAACCAGCUACUUCUGACGCAU
Molecule: small nucleolar RNA, 83 nt
Filed under: Zostera marina
Lineage: Eukaryota; Viridiplantae; Streptophyta; Magnoliopsida; Alismatales; Zosteraceae
Description: Small nucleolar RNA R12
Rfam family: Small nucleolar RNA R12
About the family: snoR12 is a C/D box small nucleolar RNA, which acts as a methylation guide for 25S ribosomal RNA in plants. snoR12 has been alternatively named snoZ44 in Arabidopsis and snoZ131 in rice.
Source: Rfam by way of RNAcentral